RNAcentral lists this long non-coding RNA (969 nucleotides) under Numida meleagris (helmeted guineafowl). Its description in RNAcentral is "lncRNA (ENSNMEG00000015670.1)". The record is from RNAcentral. Lineage: Eukaryota; Metazoa; Chordata; Aves; Galliformes; Numididae.
GUUCUUGUAGAGAUGGUGGGCAUGAACUGUCAGUGGAUGUGCUCAUUUCUGUCCGUAGGAUCUCAAAGGUAGUGCUGGAUAAUGACUUGCCUUUUCCAAGGGCUUUCACACUGGGUGUCUCUGAGGUUGUACGUCUAAAGAUAACCAUCAGAGGAAAUACCUAGAGGAAAGGGGACUUCAAUACCUGCUGAGGAUUUUUCCUAUUUCUUCCCAGCGUGUACCACAGACAUAGACUGACGCUCACUUUUGUGGCCAUACAGGCCGCAGCCCACCUGCUCAUCCUACUUUGGUUUGUUUCUCCUUUGGACUGGGAAAAUAAUUUUGUGGAACAUAAGUUUUGUUCCUGUAUCCGAUCUUUCAUUUUGGGUCAGGAAAUAAAAUGGCAGCCAUCAAAAUCACAAAGUAAAUAUUCAAUGAUGUUGAAUGGAAGUUGUUCCUGUUCACCUUCAGGAGGGCUUAAGUGAGAAGAAAUGAUGAUCUGCAUAACUGACACGGAGCGAUGCCUUUCAAUGAAGAUGAGCUCAAGACAUGGUGUUAGACUUGACUCGGUGCCUUUCUGCUCCAGGUGAAAUUCAGAAAGAAACGAGGAGAUCCGUGAUCAGCAGAAUGAAUGAUAUUUGGUGUCCUUGGGCUCUCCGCUCCCUUCCAAAGACCAGGAAGGCUCACUCUGGGGGCAGCUAUUGCAGGAUUUUCUUUCCUUUGACAGCUGGAAUCACGUUUUGUUUAACUGGACUGAUAAACACAGCUCUCAUCUCGCGGCCCUGUUAUGAUGCACUGCCUUUGGAAAGUGUUCCUCUUCUCCCAUCACUUUCCCUUCAGCUGCUGCCUAAGGACACUUCUGACCCAGAUCAGCCCAAGGGGUUGGCCACAUUCCAGACCUCUGGGCGUGCAGCCACUAGAUGGCACAUUGCAAAAGCCUAUAUCCUGAGCAGCACCUUGAUGUUUUUGGUCAGUGUGAUCAAAGGCUAA